This 253-nucleotide ribosomal RNA is filed under the name uncultured bacterium. RNAcentral describes it as "partial 16S ribosomal RNA". It matches the Rfam family "Bacterial small subunit ribosomal RNA", at positions 524 to 776 of the family's 1533-position model. The record is from RNAcentral.
UACGGGGGGAGCAAGCGUUGUUCGGAUUUACUGGGCGUAAAGGGUGCGUAGGCGGUUGGGUAAGUCUGUCGUGAAAUCUCCGAGCCUAACUCGGAAACUGCGUCGGAUACUAUUCAACUCGAGGAAUGGAGGGGAGACUGGAAUUCUCGGUGUAGCAGUGAAAUGCGUAGAUAUCGAGAGGAACACCAGUGGCGAAGGCGAGUCUCUGGACAUUUCCUGACGCUGAGGCACGAAAGCCAGGGGAGCAAACGGG